GGAAUCUUCGGCAAUGGGCGAAAGCCUGACCGAGCAACGCCGCGUGAGCGAUGAAGGCCUUCGGGUCGUAAAGCUCUGUUGUUAGAGAAGAACAAGUACGAGAGUAACUGCUCGUACCUUGACGGUACCUAACCAGAAAGCCACGGCUAACUACGUGCCAGCAGCCGCGGUAAUACGUAGGUGGCAAGCGUUAUCCGGAAUUAUUGGGCGUAAAGCGCGCGCAGGCGGUCUCUUAAGUCUGAUGUGAAAGCCCACGGCUCAACCGUGGAGGGUCAUUGGAAACUGGGAGACUUGAGUGCAGGAGAGAAAAGUGGAAUUCCACGUGUAGCGGUGAAAUGCGUAGAGAUGUGGAGGAACACCAGUGGCGAAGGCGGCUUUUUGGCCUGUAACUGACGCUGAGGCGCGAAAGCGUGGGGAGCAAACA
Molecule: ribosomal RNA, 424 nt
Filed under: uncultured Bacillus sp.
Lineage: Bacteria; Bacillati; Bacillota; Bacilli; Caryophanales; Bacillaceae
Description: bacterial SSU rRNA
Rfam family: Bacterial small subunit ribosomal RNA
Source: RNAcentral